CUUAGCUCAGCAGGUUAGAGCGCACGGCUGUUAACCGUUAGGUCAAAGGUUCGAAUCCUUUAGA
RNAcentral lists this transfer RNA (64 nucleotides) under bovine gut metagenome. It matches the Rfam family "tRNA", at positions 6 to 65 of the family's 71-position model. Rfam says of the family: Transfer RNA (tRNA) molecules are approximately 80 nucleotides in length. Their secondary structure includes four short double-helical elements and three loops (D, anti-codon, and T loops). The record is from RNAcentral.